CCUACGGGAGGCAGCAGUGAGGAAUAUUGGUCAAUGGUCGGGAGACUGAACCAGCCAAGCCGCGUGAGGGAGGAAGGUACAGAGUAUCGUAAACCUCUUUUGUCAGGGAACAAAGGCGGGGACGUGUCCCCGGAUGAGUGUACCUGAAGAAAAAGCAUCGGCUAACUCCGUGCCAGCAGCCGCGGUAAUACGGAGGAUGCGAGCGUUAUCCGGAUUUAUGGGGUUAAAAGGGUGCGCAGGCGGGCUGUUAAGUCAGCGGUCAAAGCCCGGGGCUCAACCCCGGCCCGCCGUUGAAACUGGCAGUCUCGAGUUGGAGAGAAGUAUGCGGAAUGCGCGGUGUAGCGGUGAAAUGCAUAGAUAUCGCGCAGAACUCCGAUUGCGAAGGCAGCAUGCCGGCUCCACACUGACGCUGAGGCACGAAAGCGUGGGUAUCGAACAGGAUUAGAUACCCUUGUAGUC
RNAcentral lists this ribosomal RNA (459 nucleotides) under uncultured bacterium. RNAcentral describes it as "partial 16S ribosomal RNA". It matches the Rfam family "Bacterial small subunit ribosomal RNA", at positions 338 to 795 of the family's 1533-position model. The record is from RNAcentral.